This is a long non-coding RNA of Trachemys scripta elegans, 630 nucleotides long. RefSeq lists it as uncharacterized. The transcript has 3 exons. Lineage: Eukaryota; Metazoa; Chordata; Testudines; Emydidae. The record is from RefSeq and is a predicted model, not a curated record.
CUUUCCAUCUAGGCUAAGGCUUGCCAGCACUUGGAGCCUCUGCCCUGGCAGCGGUGAGAUGUCAAGGUGGGACUGGCCUCCUCCUAGCGGCACGUCUGGUACAUCCUGUGAUUCUCCCCCAAGCACAAGAUUCUGCUCUUGUGGGUGCUCCUUACCCUUCACCACCACGAACCACUGCACUGCAGAAGAGAGGCACGAAGAGUCCCUGAGAACCCAGGAUUCUCUACCCAUGUCAGCUAUGUACCAAGCAGCCUGGACGUUGUGAACAGACAAGAGACUGUCUACAAAGUGUGAGGCAGAGAAGCAAAAGCUACCUGACAGAGCUAUCCUUCCCUGGGUCAGCUACUCUCAGCGAUACUAAACCCGCUGGCACGUGGGACAUGAUUCUGCGUCUCCGUGCUGAAUCUGUCUGGACCGUCUUCGGGCCGAGCACAGUUCCAGCACCACUGGCUUACCAGCCCAACGCUCAAUGUGUGUGGUAAUGGUUGUGCUUUCUGGAAACUGCUGCUGGGCUUUGGGAACAUUCCAGCAGUGCUCAAGGGGUUAAAGAGGGAAAUUCUUUAAGUGACAGUAAGACAAUAUUAUUCAAAAGGCCGGUUAUUUAGAUACCUAAAGCUGCCACUAAUGUGG